This 74-nucleotide transfer RNA is filed under the name Hydrogenophaga sp. H7. It matches the Rfam family "tRNA". From Rfam's summary of the family: Transfer RNA (tRNA) molecules are approximately 80 nucleotides in length. Their secondary structure includes four short double-helical elements and three loops (D, anti-codon, and T loops). Further hydrogen bonds mediate the characteristic L-shaped molecular structure. tRNAs have two regions of fundamental functional importance: the anti-codon, which is responsible for specific mRNA codon recognition, and the 3' end, to which the tRNAs corresponding amino acid is attached (by aminoacyl-tRNA synthetases). tRNAs cope with the degeneracy of the genetic code in two manners: having more than one tRNA (with a specific anti-codon) for a particular amino acid; and 'wobble' base-pairing, i.e. permitting non-standard base-pairing at the 3rd anti-codon position. The record is from Rfam by way of RNAcentral. Lineage: Bacteria; Pseudomonadati; Pseudomonadota; Betaproteobacteria; Burkholderiales; Comamonadaceae. RNAcentral also lists the same sequence under 3 other names.
GGGCCGUUAGCUCAGUUGGUCAGAGCAGAGGACUCAUAAUCCUUUGGUCGUUGGUUCAAGCCCAACACGGCCUA